This 317-nucleotide long non-coding RNA is filed under the name Setaria italica (foxtail millet). RNAcentral describes it as "long non-coding RNA (SITA_LNC005031)". The record is from RNAcentral. Lineage: Eukaryota; Viridiplantae; Streptophyta; Magnoliopsida; Poales; Poaceae.
GCAGAUGCGCUUCAUGGGAUCAUUCUAUGGCGAAAACGCUACAUCAUUAUUCCCAGCACGGAGCCAUCUCCUCAGAGCUCAAGACCGCUCCCCGUAGAUCCCCAGUAGUGACCUUCUCCUCAUAGCUCGAGACCGUCAUCUCCUGCACAACCUGCUCCAGGACCGUCCCUUCCAUCUGUAUCAAGGUCUCCAUCUCCACCACAUCCUGGUGGUGGGAGCAACGACGACAAUAACAACACCCCUCCCCGAUCACCGUCGCCGGCACCAAGAGCGGCCCCCAUGAAGGAACCUGCACCACCACUAAAGAAGUCACGAGC